UCAAAUUAAAAACAUUACUGAACAUAUCACCGAAUAACAAAUUCAACUUUAUUAUCAAGCAUUAAAAACAAAAAAAUAAAAUUAGUUCUUAAAAAUGGGAUUACGCACAUGUUUUGGAAAUUGUAUUGGCUGGAUCAACAUAUAUUGGUGGGGAUUUAUUGCCAUUAACAUUAGUUUCUUUUUGCUUAUAAUUGCCAUGAAACAAAUGUUUAUAACGAAGGAGAGUUUUGAGGAAGAAGAUGCAAUUGCCUUCACCUGGUUUUGCAGUGUUGCAUUUGCGGUUUGUGUUUUGAUUAUCACAGUAUCGGCACUUCUUGUCAGGGGCAUUAAAGAGAAUCGUCCAAAAGCAAUGAUUCCUUUCCUUCUGUUUACAUUCACUCAAAUAAUUGCCUACCUAUGUGGUGCCAUUGUUAUAUCAUUGCGCUAUGCUGAUAAUACAGUUCUUCUUGUUCUUGUGGUCAAUAUGGAAUAAACCUAAAUUAUUGAGCCCCUUUGUCUAUUUGACAUACAUUGGCUGUUGGCUGUAUGGCCUCGUAGCACUUCGACAUUUCAUCUCGGGCUUAUUUAACCGCGGACCAUUUUUACCUCUUUUUCUUCAUCUCUUGAUACAUUUGACAAUUAUUGGUAUUCUAGUUGCAAUGUUAUGGCCAGUAUUAAAGUUGCACAAGAGAUGGCGCAAGGAACGCAAAAUAUCAAUGUCUACUGUCUGCAAUAAUAGUACAACUAAUUUUUAAUUAGUUUAAGAAUGCUUUUUAGGAUGUAUUUGAAAUAAACCAAACAAAAUGUUAUGGGUUCCAGAAUUAAGGUGCAAGACAAUUUUGAUUUACAACACUUAU
RNA transcript from Musca domestica (house fly), 836 nucleotides. RefSeq lists it as uncharacterized. The record is from RefSeq and is a predicted model, not a curated record. The transcript is spliced from 5 exons. NCBI's taxonomy places the organism in Eukaryota, Metazoa, Arthropoda, Insecta, Diptera, Muscidae.